UGUCACUAAUCUACUCUCUAUUUUCCUCUAAUGAUUGUAACUAGUCCUUUCAAAUGAGCUUUUUGUCAGAAAACGAUGGCCUGAGGAAUCCAAAUGGAAAAGAACAAAUCUUGCAGUUCAUGCUAGCAGCCGUAGCUGGCUGCUCUUUGAAUUAUUACACCAGAAAACUCUUUUGAAGACUGAUUUGUUCUUUUUGAGGAAAUUGGAGGAAGUAAGAUACUUCCACCAAUAUGAUAUUUAUAAUGGCACAGUGAGAUGGUAUGUAUAUAUAUCCUUUGAUAUG
This 283-nucleotide long non-coding RNA is filed under the name Elaeis guineensis (African oil palm). Its description in RNAcentral is "long non-coding RNA (EGUI_LNC048266)". Lineage: Eukaryota; Viridiplantae; Streptophyta; Magnoliopsida; Arecales; Arecaceae. The record is from RNAcentral.